Long non-coding RNA from Syngnathoides biaculeatus (alligator pipefish), 779 nucleotides. RefSeq lists it as uncharacterized. NCBI's taxonomy places the organism in Eukaryota, Metazoa, Chordata, Actinopteri, Syngnathiformes, Syngnathidae. The record is from RefSeq and is a predicted model, not a curated record. The transcript has 5 exons.
GGGUUUGUGAUGCCGCCCUGGAGCGCCGCGGAGUAGACCUCAUUCGACGUAGCCCCCUCGUUCAUCAGAAAGCGAUAGUACCUUUUCUUGAACGGCAUGAACUGCAAAAAAGGGAACGAGCAUCUUUAUGGUGGGCCAAAAAUCAAAGCCUUCGCGGCACGUUUUACCUUGGCGUCCUCAAUUAUGCCGCGCCAGCGAUGGCACACGAGUCCGGCGCUCCUGUACAUGUCUCGGGCAGGAAGGAGGCCGAGGACCCGCCUCAGCACCUCCUCCGGGAGGUCGUCGAUGUGGCCGCAAGGCACCAGCAGCUCUUCGCUGCUGCCCAAGAGCCCGUAGGUGGCGUCGGGCAGAGCCUCCACCUCCGGCUCUUCGUGCACCGUCUCGCUCCUCGAGGCCCGCCGGCAACAAAUCCUCAUCAUCCGAACUGACCUCGUCUUCGGCUGCGCGCUCUCCAUGAAGCCCAUUUGUGCACGUGGGGCGAAAUCAGAACGCAGUCCGAGGUUGCCAACCUGCGGGAAACUCCAGCGUGAAGCAUCCCAUCGGAGGACGAAACUGCUUGACCAUCACCACGCAGUCUUUGUGCAGCGUCCUCUUCAGCAGCGCGAUGAUGCCAACGCCUGAGGGCACAGCGAAUUCCCACUAGGAAACAAUAGAAACGUGCCUGGUGGUGCCGGCAGGAUCCAAGUAGGUGGUCUUCUCCAGCUUCACCCAUCUCCCUGACGCCAGGAGCUUUCACACAAAAGACAUUUUCACCCCCGUGUUUUCCGAUCCAAAACGCA